Molecule: ribosomal RNA, 1843 nt
Filed under: Escherichia coli
Lineage: Bacteria; Pseudomonadati; Pseudomonadota; Gammaproteobacteria; Enterobacterales; Enterobacteriaceae
Description: partial 23S ribosomal RNA
Rfam family: Bacterial large subunit ribosomal RNA
Source: RNAcentral
GUACACAAAAAUGCACAUGCUGUGAGCUCGAUGAGUAGGGCGGGACACGUGGUAUCCUGUCUGAAUAUGGGGGGACCAUCCUCCAAGGCUAAAUACUCCUGACUGACCGAUAGUGAACCAGUACCGUGAGGGAAAGGCGAAAAGAACCCCGGCGAGGGGAGUGAAAAAGAACCUGAAACCGUGUACGUACAAGCAGUGGGAGCACGCUUAGGCGUGUGACUGCGUACCUUUUGUAUAAUGGGUCAGCGACUUAUAUUCUGUAGCAAGGUUAACCGAAUAGGGGAGCCGAAGGGAAACCGAGUCUUAACUGGGCGUUAAGUUGCAGGGUAUAGACCCGAAACCCGGUGAUCUAGCCAUGGGCAGGUUGAAGGUUGGGUAACACUAACUGGAGGACCGAACCGACUAAUGUUGAAAAAUUAGCGGAUGACUUGUGGCUGGGGGUGAAAGGCCAAUCAAACCGGGAGAUAGCUGGUUCUCCCCGAAAGCUAUUUAGGUAGCGCCUCGUGAAUUCAUCUCCGGGGGUAGAGCACUGUUUCGGCAAGGGGGUCAUCCCGACUUACCAACCCGAUGCAAACUGCGAAUACCGGAGAAUGUUAUCACGGGAGACACACGGCGGGUGCUAACGUCCGUCGUGAAGAGGGAAACAACCCAGACCGCCAGCUAAGGUCCCAAAGUCAUGGUUAAGUGGGAAACGAUGUGGGAAGGCCCAGACAGCCAGGAUGUUGGCUUAGAAGCAGCCAUCAUUUAAAGAAAGCGUAAUAGCUCACUGGUCGAGUCGGCCUGCGCGGAAGAUGUAACGGGGCUAAACCAUGCACCGAAGCUGCGGCAGCGACACUAUGUGUUGUUGGGUAGGGGAGCGUUCUGUAAGCCUGUGAAGGUGUACUGUGAGGUAUGCUGGAGGUAUCAGAAGUGCGAAUGCUGACAUAAGUAACGAUAAAGCGGGUGAAAAGCCCGCUCGCCGGAAGACCAAGGGUUCCUGUCCAACGUUAAUCGGGGCAGGGUGAGUCGACCCCUAAGGCGAGGCCGAAAGGCGUAGUCGAUGGGAAACAGGUUAAUAUUCCUGUACUUGGUGUUACUGCGAAGGGGGGACGGAGAAGGCUAUGUUGGCCGGGCGACGGUUGUCCCGGUUUAAGCGUGUAGGCUGGUUUUCCAGGCAAAUCCGGAAAAUCAAGGCUGAGGCGUGAUGACGAGGCACUACGGUGCUGAAGCAACAAAUGCCCUGCUUCCAGGAAAAGCCUCUAAGCAUCAGGUAACAUCAAAUCGUACCCCAAACCGACACAGGUGGUCAGGUAGAGAAUACCAAGGCGCUUGAGAGAACUCGGGUGAAGGAACUAGGCAAAAUGGUGCCGUAACUUCGGGAGAAGGCACGCUGAUAUGUAGGUGAAGUCCCUCGCGGAUGGAGCUGAAAUCAGUCGAAGAUACCAGCUGGCUGCAACUGUUUAUUAAAAACACAGCACUGUGCAAACACGAAAGUGGACGUAUACGGUGUGACGCCUGCCCGGUGCCGGAAGGUUAAUUGAUGGGGUCAGCGCAAGCGAAGCUCUUGAUCGAAGCCCCGGUAAACGGCGGCCGUAACUAUAACGGUCCUAAGGUAGCGAAAUUCCUUGUCGGGUAAGUUCCGACCUGCACGAAUGGCGUAAUGAUGGCCAGGCUGUCUCCACCCGAGACUCAGUGAAAUUGAACUCGCUGUGAAGAUGCAGUGUACCCGCGGCAAGACGGAAAGACCCCGUGAACCUUUACUAUAGCUUGACACUGAACAUUGAGCCUUGAUGUGUAGGAUAGGUGGGAGGCUUUGAAGUGUGGACGCCAGUCUGCAUGGAGCCGACCUUGAAAUACCACCCUU